UACCAGCUCUCCGAGUGGUGUGGAUGUUUAUUGGGCCUAACGCAUCCGUAGCUGGCUGGACAAGUCCCCUGUUAAAUCCACCGAUUUAAUCGUUGGUGUGCGGGGGAUACUGUUCGGCUAGGGGACGGGAGAGGCAGACGGUAUUUUCGGGGUAGGGGUGAAAUCCUAUAAUCCCGGGAAGACCACCAGUGGCGAAGGCUGUCUGCUAGAACGCGCCCGACGGUGAGGGAUGAAAGCUGGGGGAGCGAACCGGAUUAGAUACCCGGGUAGUCCCAGCUGUAAACGAUGCAGGCUAGGUGUUUGGACGGCCACGUGCCGUUCUAGUGCCGCAGGGAAGCCGUUAAGCCUGCCGCCUGGGGAGUACGGCCGCAAGGCUGAAACUUAAAGGAAUUGGCGGGGAGCACCACAAGGGGUGAAGCUUGCGGUUU
Molecule: ribosomal RNA, 428 nt
Filed under: uncultured archaeon
Lineage: Archaea
Description: bacterial SSU rRNA
Rfam family: Archaeal small subunit ribosomal RNA
Source: RNAcentral